Molecule: RNA transcript, 5009 nt
Organism: Salvia miltiorrhiza (redroot sage)
Lineage: Eukaryota; Viridiplantae; Streptophyta; Magnoliopsida; Lamiales; Lamiaceae
Exons: 5
Source: RefSeq, a predicted model, not a curated record
CCUAGUAGAAUUAAAGAAAAGGCUUUAUCCAAAUUUCAAUAUCCCCCGCGACCCUCAAUCCCCAAUUCUUUACUACACGCUUUCCCGCACUGAAUCUCUCUCUAAAUUAGGUCAAAAUAUUCGGCAAUUUCGAAUUAGGGUUCGGCCAUUAGUGCAAAGCUGCCCUAACAAAUGGCCGGGAACAACACUACAGCUAACAGCAACAAUCAAGUUACGGCGGUGCCGACGGUGCCGAAGACCAUAUGGAUGAAGCAAGCGGAGGAAGCCAAGUUGAAGAGCGAAGCCGAGAAGGCCGCCGCCGCCAAAGCCGCAUUCGAAGCCACCUUCAAUAGCAAGUCCCAACCCCAGCUGCCCCAAUCCCCUUCCGCUGCGCCGUCCUCUUCCUCGGACUCCGACGACGACAAUGAAUCUUAUGAGAAAGACUGCUCUGUGGGGCCCGUGGACCCCUCAAAGUGCACGGCGCAGGGCGCGGGGAUUGCUGGCGGCACGGCGUGCGUGGGGGCCACGUUUGCGGUGGUGACGAAGGAUUCCGAGGGGAGGAAGGUGGCGCGCGGCGGGGCUCAGGUAAAGGUUAGGGUUUCGCCGGGUGUCGGAGUUGGGGGAAACGAGCAGGACGGGAUAGUGAAGGAUAUGGGGGAUGGAAGCUAUAGCGUGACUUAUGUGGUGCCUAAGAGAGGGAAUUAUAUGGUCAAUGUGGAGUGCAAUGGGAAGCCGAUUAUGGGAAGUCCGUUUCCCGUUUUCUUCAGCCAAGGGACCCCCAACGGAGGGCUUCUUGGGAUGGCUCCAGCAGCUUCUUAUCCCAAUUUAGUAAACCAGACCAUGCCCAAUAUGCCAAAUUACUCUGGUUCUGUAUCUGGUGCUUUUCCGGGGUUGCUUGGUAUGAUUCCUGGUGUUGUCUCUGGGGCCUCAGGUGGAGUGGUUUUACCUGGAAUGGGAUCUUCCUUGGGAGAAAUGUGUCGAGAAUACCUAAAUGGGCGCUGCGCAAAUACUAGUUGCAAGUUUAAUCACCCUCCCCAUAAUCUGCUCAUGACUGCCUUAGCUGCCACCACUACAAUGGGAACUCUCAGUCAAGUGCCAAUGGCACCUUCUGCUGCUGCGAUGGCAGCUGCUCAGGCAAUUGUUGCUGCCCAAGCUCUUCAAGCCCAUGCUGCAGCUCAAGCCCAGUCCAACAAAGACUCUGGUUCAGAUGACAGUGAGAAGAAGGCCGAUUCUCUUAAGAAAACUGUACAAGUCAGUAAUCUUAGUCCACUUCUGACAGUGGAUCAGUUGAAGCAGCUUUUUGGUUUUUGUGGGACGGUUGUUGAUUGUACCAUAACUGAGUCUAAGCACUUUGCAUAUAUUGAAUACUCAAAAGCAGAAGAAGCUUCUUCUGCUUUGGCAUUGAAUAAUAUGGAUGUUGGGGGCCGUCCAUUAAAUGUUGAAAUGGCCAAAUCGCUUCCGCCAAAGCCUAUUUUGAAUUCGGCAAUGGGUUCAUCAUCUUUGCCUAUGGUUAUGCAGCAAGCUGUUGCCAUGCAACAAAUGCAAUUUCAGCAGGCUCUUCUGAUGCAGCAAACAUUGACAGCACAGCAAGCAGCUAAUCGAGCAGCAACUAUGAAGUCUGCAACAGAAUUAGCUGCAGCUAGGGCUGCAGAAAUAAGUAAGAAGUUGCAAGCUGAUGGUCUGGUCAUUGAGGUUAAAGAACCUGAAAGAAAAUCUAGGUCACCAAAUGCUCGUGUCAAGUCAAAAUCUAGGUCCAGGUCCAGGUCUGCUUCCCCUAUAAAUUAUCGAUCAAGAGGGAAGUCUCGCUCGUUCUCACCUCCCGCGCGUCGCCGACGAGAUUAUCGAUCCAGAUCACCUGUGAGAUCUCGCCAUUACUCAAGUUAUGAGAAGGACCAGAGGUCUUAUAAGGAUGGUAGGGAUGUCAGCGAUAGAAGUAGGAGACGGGAUUGGGGAAGAUCACGUGAUAAUGAUUCGCCUCUUUCACGGAGAAAGAAAAGCAGGAGUGCAAGCCCUCGGACUAGGAAAUCAUAUCGAGAUGAUUUAGGAUCACCAAGACAUCGUCGAGAAAGUCCUACUGAAAGAACAAGAAAAUCAUCACGUCCUGAUUCAAGAUCUCCUCAUCGUCAUAGGAGAAGGUCUUUAUCGUCGGGAGAUGAAAAAGUUAAAUCUAAACCUCGAAAGCGUUCAUUGUCAAGAUCUGAUGAUGUUGUUCAUCACUCUAGCGAUAAGAAAGACAACAAAAGGGAAGAAAAACCCAAGAGUCGGAGUAGGAGACGCUCUAGAUCGGGUUCUGCAGAUGGUCGAAAACAUGUGCGAAGAUCUUCCCCAAGUGUAUUGGAGGAAAGCAGAUCCAAACAUAGAAGACGUUCAAGGUCCAGAUCUCAGGAAGACAAACAUCAGUUGAGUGAGAAAUAUGAAAGGAGCAGAGAGGAUAAAUCGAGGGACCGAGAUAGAAGGCGAUCUAGGUCCAGGUCAACUGAAAAGCGUAGGAGAGGCAGUAAGACAUCUCCGCGACAUUCAAGUGGACAUAAAUCAAAACAUAGGAAGCGCUCUCGUUCGAACUCUACCGAAAAUUUUGUCGAAAACAAGAAUGAGCAAACUGAUGUUCCUGUCAAAAGCGCUGUUAAAGCAUUAGAGGAUGGGAAUGACAGAUCUGUCACACCUGAUGAUAUUCAUAUGAACAGUUUGGCUGAGUAGGGGCAAAUGAAAGAUGAUGGUAUUGGAAGUGACUGGAGCCCUUAAAAAAAGUAACGCCCGAAGAGAUGUAACUAAUGAAGAGGAUGAUUGAACAAAGUCUAGAAAAUAUGUAUCUAUCAUGUUUCUGCUUGCCAGAGCUUCAUAUCUGGGCUUCUGGUUUCAGGUUCAACAUAGUUAGGUGGUCUCUGCCUUCACGUGAUAAAUAUACUUUGUUUCUAUUGCAGGUUUGUGGCCAAAUACAUUUCACUGGUGUCUGGAGUUGCGCUUGAUUUCAUUAGAGCAGUUCAAGAAGUGUUACUGCCCUCAGAUCCAACCAUGACAAUGUUUUUCCCAGAACUGUUUAAUUGAUAUAUGCCAGACCAUAACCUCUCUAUCUGUAGAUGCAGGUUCUCUGGCUGCAAUUUCUUGGUGCUCAAUCAGAUGAAUUUGGCACGAUUUAUGUAUCAGAUUAUAUAUGGAAGGUAUGAUGGAAUAUAAAUUGAAUUAUAAAAGCUUAGCUCUAAUUGGAUUCGACAAUAGAAGUUGAUAUUUUAACUUGAUGCUGUAGAGUGGAUAUGCUAUUGCUCUUUCCUUAUGUUUCUGUUUCUCUUCUUUUUCCCCUCCUUUUCUUUUCCCUUUUUCCUUUUCUUUUCCUCCUGCCCAUUCUUUUCCUAUCUUGAAAUUAUUUGGUUAGGAAAGGGUCUCUUAAAGCUGAUUCCAGAUCAGAUGUUGCUGGUUUGGUUGGUUAGUUCCUUGGUCAAGUCAUUUGUUCUUUUCUUACAGGUAAUUACUUUUGGUUAAACAUUGGUUUUGUUUAAAGUGUCCACAAAUAAUGUCUGGGAACUUCUUGUAUAUUUUAAUUAAAAAAUAGUCGUUGCAUCACCAAAUGAUAACACUGAUUCAAUGCUUUCUGGAUAUUCCACGCCCCAUCUUGAUUUAGUAGUCUAGUAGCAGCAACCAUAUCUCUAACCCAAUUUCCAUGCUAAAUAUAUGACCUCAGAUGUGGCCAGAUGGAUUGCAAUACAUAAAAAUUUACUACAUAAUCAUGACGUGAAAAACUGAUGUUAAAAUCCAAAUUAUGACUGGAAAAAUAUCAUAUUGCUCAGCAUGAAUUUAGUAGGCCAAAAUGGUUCUACAAGAUGACACGUCCCUGUUAGUUUUAACAAUUGGCUAAUACUUUUAAGCUGGUUGCCUCAUUUUCGCGAUAUAUAAACAUGUGCAUUUGUUUGCUUUUAUCCCUUUUUGCCUGAUUAGAAUUGGUUGAUUAGUAGUAAACUAGCCAGCCCGUGUGGAAAUUUUGGUAGAUCCUAACUUCUUGAUGUGCAUAAAAUAUCAUUUGUGAUUCUCGGGGACUAAAGUAUUUGAAACCUACACUGUACUAAUUCACAGAAAUUGAAUGGAUAAAUUGGAGCAUGUAUUCUAAAAGCAUCCAUGAUGCAUCUCACAUGUUGCAUUCUUAUUUUCAUUUUUGUUUUUUGAGUAGGGAAAAGGGGGAAUGGUGGGUAUUGAACCUUUGACUGUACUCUUUACAUAGAGGAGUCUUACUGUUUGGAUGUCCUUGAAGGGACCACUUUUGUUUUGUUGAACUCUUCCAUUGUAAGAUUCUCUUGCUCAAGGUUAGAUAGGUUUUUUUAUUGAUUGAGAAAGAUUAUUAUCUGCUUUGCUUUACUUAUCUAAGAAUUUUUGCCCAUAUAGAGGAUUGAGAGAAUAAGGUGUGGUUUCAGAUUCCAAGAGUUGAUAUUUGCUGCAUUAUCAGUAACAUAUAUUCUUGCAUAUUUUCCAUUCCUCUUUUCUUUCUUUCUUUCUUCUUCUUCUUCUUCUUCUUCUUCUUCUUCUUCUUCUUCUUUCUUCUUUUUAUUUCUUUACUAGGUGAUGCUGGAUGUUUAGUGGAUUGGGAGCUGAAAUGUUACACUUCCAUUUGGGGAAAUGAUGGAUUUCAAUAUUUUUUUUUUGUUUAUUCCUCCUCCCCCUCUUCCCUGCUCUAUUAUUUGCGAAGAUGGUUUUGAACAACAAUGAAUGUUCUUGCUUUUGGUUAAUUUGAGAGCUUUCGAUCACAAUGAUUGAUGCGUGCCUUCUGCUUCGUUAUCGUUCUCUCGUAAGAGCUCGAGUUGAGGGCUUUUGGGUAUAGUUGUAUGAUUUAGUUGUUUCUUAAUGGAAAUGCUCUCUUUAGAAGUUCAUCUUCAAUUUAGCCACCUACCUAGUCCCCACCCCCUACCUAGUCCCCAGCGAAGGAACAAAGUUUUGGGGCGAUAAAGAAUGAACAAAAAUUGAUUUUCGCUGUGUGCAGCUGUGUUGUAUAACUUGUGUGGGUUUUGUUUGGAAAUGGUUGUUGGUAUGUUAAUUUGUUGUUUGCA